UCCAGUCAGAUGACCAUCAGGUUCCCAUUCUGCCAUAAGUUGACGCAGUGUUAGUUUUUGAGCCCUGAUUGGCCGAAACACUGCAUCAUAUUACAGGUAGCAAGGAGUCCUGGGAGAGUUGCUGUUUGGACUGUAAUCAUUGAAACUACUACUGUCGCCUCAUUGUGAAUUAUUUUGCCUCACUAUCGGUGUUUAUUAACUAGAAAUAUCAGAGGAUGUAUUGAAUGGAGCCUGAGUUAAAGUUAGACCUGCGGUGAGAGAUUUAUUAGAAGAAAAACCCCAACUGGAAGGAAACCGCGACUGAAAACGAGGGAACAGCAACAAAUGAACCAGCCCGAAGACUGAGAGCAUCAACUGGACAGAACCCUCCUGACUCAGAGUUUCCAUUGAUUCGUUCAGCAGAAAGUCUGGUUGACCUGACCUGCGAGAUUUAUUGGAGGAAAAGCCCACGACUGGAAGAAAAUCACAACUGAAGACGAGGGAACAGCAACAAUGAACCAGCCCGAAGACGGAGAGCACCAAAUGGAGAGAACCCAUCUGACUUGGCGUUUCCAUUGAUUCAGUCAGGGGAAAGAUUGGAGAGUCUUAUUUACCCGAACACCGGUCCUUUUGGUAUUACAUUUUUGUACCAAGGAAGGGCAUCACCAGCGGGUGGAGCUGUCGUGCAUCGCGAUCAAAGUGUAAACAAGACGACGAAAAUCGACAAUCAUCAGUCAGAAUAAGAAUGGCUACAGUUCCAGCGCAGGGACCUGACACCAGUAAUGGUCGAAUGACUCCGCUCACCAGGCCAAGCUUCACCUGAGUGAAAGGAGCUGGAGACCCUGAAUCAGCAGGUUGAGAGUGAAACACAUACAGGAAUGAGACAGCGGUGUUGCUUGUUACGUAAAAGUCCAGGUUCAGGGUUUGUUGUACAUCAGGGCCUGUUUAGAGGUGAAAGACAUCUCCAAUUUUCAUUUAUAAAAUUCAGAGACAGGUGAUAAGUGCAUUUCCGGGAUUUCAGAGAUUCUGUGAUAACAAAACAUUUCAGGAUUCGGCAGGGCAGCUAUCAACACCCCUCUUGUUGACAAAGUAGAUGAGGGGAAUUUUCCAAACUCUGUUUUCUGUAGCCGAGCCGAGAACUUUGCCAGACUUGGAAAUGGCUGAGGAUCAGGAGACCCUUCAUUUUAGAUAGACUUGUGGUCAGCUUCGGAGCAUCACUGUCUGGUUUGGAGGGGCUACUGCACAGGACCGAAAGAAGCUGCAGAAAUUUGUAAAUCUACUCAGCUCCAUCUUGGGUACUAGCCUACAAAGUUCCCAAGACAUCUUUGGGAACCAGGGUCUCAGAAAGGCAGCGUCAAAUUAUUAAGGACCUCCAGCACCCCAGGCAUGCCCUUUUCUCACUGUUAGCGUCAGAAAGCAGAUACAGAAGCCUGAAGGUACACACUCAACGAUUCAGGAACAGAUUCGUCCCUUCUGCCAUCUGAUUCCGAAAUGGACAUCCCAUCUUUGGACACUUGCUUACUUUUUUUUGAUAUAGAGUCUUUCUGUUUUUGCAUGAUUUUAAAGAUCUACUCAAUAUACGCAAUUGGUUUAUUUGUCUUCU
Hypanus sabinus (Atlantic stingray) is the source of this 1582-nucleotide long non-coding RNA. RefSeq lists it as uncharacterized. NCBI's taxonomy places the organism in Eukaryota, Metazoa, Chordata, Chondrichthyes, Myliobatiformes, Dasyatidae. The record is from RefSeq and is a predicted model, not a curated record. The transcript has 5 exons.